RNAcentral lists this ribosomal RNA (364 nucleotides) under uncultured Anoxybacillus sp. RNAcentral's name for it is "bacterial SSU rRNA". It matches the Rfam family "Bacterial small subunit ribosomal RNA", at positions 1016 to 1382 of the family's 1533-position model. Lineage: Bacteria; Bacillati; Bacillota; Bacilli; Caryophanales; Anoxybacillaceae. The record is from RNAcentral.
UUCGGGGGACGAGGGUGACAGGUGGUGCAUGGUUGUCGUCAGCUCGUGUCGUGAGAUGUUGGGUUAAGUCCCGCAACGAGCGCAACCCUCGACCUUAGUUGCCAGCAUUCAGUUGGGCACUCUAAGGUGACUGCCGGCUAAAAGUCGGAGGAAGGUGGGGAUGACGUCAAAUCAUCAUGCCCCUUAUGACCUGGGCUACACACGUGCUACAAUGGGCGGUACAAAGGGUCGCGAACCCGCGAGGGGGAGCCAAUCCCAAAAAGCCGCUCUCAGUUCGGAUUACAGGCUGCAACUCGCCUGCAUGAAGCCGGAAUCGCUAGUAAUCGCGGAUCAGCAUGCCGCGGUGAAUACGUUCCCGGGCCUU